This 347-nucleotide ribosomal RNA is filed under the name uncultured bacterium. Its description in RNAcentral is "partial 16S ribosomal RNA". It matches the Rfam family "Bacterial small subunit ribosomal RNA", at positions 338 to 696 of the family's 1533-position model. The record is from RNAcentral.
CCUACGGGUGGCAGCAGUCGAGAAUCAUUCACAAUGGGGGAAACCCUGAUGGUGCGACGCCGCGUUGGGGAAUGAAGGUCUUCGGAUUGUAAACCCCUGUCAUGUGGGAGCAAAUUAAAAAGAUAGUACCACAAGAGGAAGAGACGGCUAACUCUGGGCCAGCAGCAGCGGGAAUACAGAGGUCUCUAGCGUUGUUCGGAAUCACUGGGUGUAAAGCGUGCGUAGGCUGUUUCGUAAGUCGUGUGUGAAAGGCGCGGGCUCAACCCGCGGACGGCACAUGAUACUGCGAGACUAGAGUAAUGGAGGGGGAAGCGGAAUUCUUGGUGUAGCAGUGAAAUGCGUAGAUA